AAGCAGAGCCUGUGAAGUUCGGUGUGCACUUCCCCUUCUUUUCUCUAGGAUUCGUUCCUGUUUCCUGAAGCGCUUGCUGCAGGACUUUCCUGUUGUGAUGUCCGGUGGAUCCCUAAACUAGCAUUUGCAGUUGGGAAGAUGUAAGCAACAUGUUUAACUUCAAGCAAGCCUCAAGUUUCUCAUCAGUAAGACAGGAUCGUGCUGUAUGGCAUGAGGAUUAAAUGAAAUGGUGCACCAGACCUGUAUAUGACACCCUCUGCUUCACCUUCCUGGAUCAUCUGCUAAAAAUAUGUCAGAAAUCAAUUUUGUAUGGUUAACCCUCUCCAGACAAAGGCAAAGACGAAGUUGGAAUAAAACCAUCUCUCGGUGUCACACACAACUGUGAGUGCCCAAAGAGUUUUUGAGACAGGUUGUCGCCAACAAAUCAUCCAAUUAUCCAGAAAUUUGGAGAAAAGGGAGUAGCUGGUGACAUGCUUUUGCAUGCCGGCCUCCUAGAAGGUGGUUUGAAUUAGUGGGCCUUCUCCUAUCUUCUCCUGGACUGUUUUUCCUGUGUAUCGAACACUGCUCAGAUCCAGCCCCUCCCCCGCUCCCACUUCUUGCUUUGGUCUCCUCAGCAGCUCCACAUAGGAGCACUAAGCAGGGGCUUUAGUCGUCAGCUCCGUUCAUGACUAUCUCUGAUGCUACACCACAAGCAGCUACAGAAAAUUAGCCUGACUCAUAUAUCUUCUUGCCCUGGAGUCAGGAUUAAAAUGCUCAUUAGUCUGCCUGACAGAUAUUUAUUGAGACUCUAGUGUGUGCCAACACUGUUAAAUACAAACAUCCCACAGAAACAGAGGAUUUGUCUCUGAAAGGAAUUUUGAGCAAAUGAAAAGAGACUCGGGAAGAGAAACAUCAUACAGAAAGCUCCAGUGCCUGGGUACAGACACUCUGGUGACAGAUCUUAUUUCACUAUGUCAAGGAUACUUCUUUCAGUUAAAAAUAACAUGGGUUUGGAUUGGCAGGAUUAAUAUAGUAAAAAUGGCCAUUUUACCAAAAGCAAUCUACAGAUUCAAUGCAAUCCCCAUCAAAAUACCAAUCCAAUUCUUCAAAGAGUUAGACAGAACAAUUUGCAAAUUCAUCUGGAAUAACAAAAAACCCAGGAUAGCUAAAGCUAUCCUCCACAAUAAGAGGACUUCAGGGGGAAUCACUAUCCCUGAACUCAAGCAGUAUUACAGAGCAAUAGUGAUAAAAACUGCAUGGUAUUGGUACAGAGACAGACAGAUAGACCAAUGGAAUAGAAUUGAAGACCCAGAAAUGAACCCACACACCUAUGGUCACUUGAUUUUUGACAAAGGAGCCAAAACCAUCCAAUGGAAAAAAGAUAGCAUUUUCAGCAAAUGGUGCUGGUUCAACUGGAGGGCAACAUGUAGAAGAAUGCAGAUCGAUCCAUGCUUAUC
Long non-coding RNA from Rattus norvegicus (Norway rat), 1436 nucleotides. RefSeq lists it as uncharacterized. The record is from RefSeq and is a predicted model, not a curated record. Lineage: Eukaryota; Metazoa; Chordata; Mammalia; Rodentia; Muridae.